This 70-nucleotide transfer RNA is filed under the name Plestiodon brevirostris (shortnose skink). RNAcentral's name for it is "tRNA-Gln". It matches the Rfam family "tRNA". Rfam says of the family: Transfer RNA (tRNA) molecules are approximately 80 nucleotides in length. Their secondary structure includes four short double-helical elements and three loops (D, anti-codon, and T loops). Lineage: Eukaryota; Metazoa; Chordata; Lepidosauria; Squamata; Scincidae. The record is from RNAcentral.
UAGAGAAUAGUAUGGUGGAGGUACGCGGGGUUUUGAGCCCCUUAGUACAGGUUCGAGUCCUGUUUUUCUA